UCUCGAUUCCGACGCGGACCAGCGUCUCGAUGGAAGCGCUGCCGGUGAUGCGUCCCAUUCCUGGCGGUCGGAUCGUGUCUUUAUCAUCAGCUGCCGAGGGGGCGCAGCAGUUGCUUAUUAAAUUCCAAUCUGCAUCUUCAAUGAACACUCGGAGGGGGAGAGCGAAUCGUCGAGGCGUGGCGAGAGAGAAAGAAGCUGCGUGGGUUUGAAUUGUCUUUUACUAAUACGGAAAUCGCUUGGCUGCCGUCUGCCAACACAAAAUUUAACCACAACAUUUGGUGUUGCAAGUACCACCACAUCUCGUCGUGGUCACGCAUCUUUUAUACCCCGACGUGACGAAUGAGAUGCUGGGCACAUCCCUUUCAAUGUCGUGAGGCCACCACACAUCAUAAUAACAAGUCUCAUAUGGUGUGUCAUUCGGCAUCCGAGCUUAAAAGACCCUCAUCAUCCAAGAGUCGCAAUCAAUUUCUUUCUCUUAUCAUCCCCCCUCCAACGGAAAAAAAUAAUGAGAAAUUUAAUAUCGUGAAACAAUAGGAGAAUCGUGACCGUGAGUAUCUUUUUUCUUCUUCAUUCCCGUUGGAAAAACAAUCGCAGUCGACUCGUUUCGUGGAAUUGACCGAUGAAGUAAGAAAAAACAAGAAAACAUUCGAUAUUUUUUUCCCAUCGAAAUUGUCAAUAGCAGAGGACAACAGACACACAUUUCCCAACUGUCAGGAUCAACUGGGGGACGGCUGACUAACGGAUGUGGGAAGCCUCCAAGUCACGAACAUUUGACAUGCGAUGGAAUUGGCAUGGGUUUGUUGGGGACAAUUCUUCGCCCCGGUCGCACCGGAGGGAAAUCAAAACCUCGAGUCGCGUGAUUUUCGACCUAAAGUGGUUAAUAACAAACGAUGGGCUUAUUCCAGUUGAAAAAAAAGUAUCAACCAUAAAAUAGAAGAUUAUCAUCGUGUAAUUGAAUUGAAAGGAGCGCCCGAUCGCAAAAUGAGUCAAAAUU
Molecule: long non-coding RNA, 994 nt
Organism: Daphnia pulicaria
Lineage: Eukaryota; Metazoa; Arthropoda; Branchiopoda; Diplostraca; Daphniidae
Exons: 3
Source: RefSeq, a predicted model, not a curated record